RNAcentral lists this long non-coding RNA (3354 nucleotides) under Mytilus galloprovincialis (Mediterranean mussel). The record is from RNAcentral. Lineage: Eukaryota; Metazoa; Mollusca; Bivalvia; Mytilida; Mytilidae.
UUAAACUGAAGCAUGAUUAAGGCUAUUAUCAAUAAAUAUAAAAAAUAUACAAAAAAUAAUCAACAAAAUGCAAAAAAGCUGCAAUAAAUAUAGGAAAAGUAUACGAAAAAUAUCACAAUACAAUCACAUUGAUCUGAGGAAAGAAAUUGUAAUUUUUACUAAGUUUUGUAUAACAAAGUAAGUGACCAAAUCAUUGAGCUGUAAAAAAUAAAUAUGUUCUUCUGAAUUUUGAAAGAUUCUUAAUGUACAAUAUAUAUGUAUAUAUGUAUAUAUAUAAAAGGACUGAAUAAAUAGUCAACGAUUAAUCUUACAGGGGGAUGUUCACAUCGCAAAUAACUAUUUUUAUAUGGCAUAUCUUUGCGCCGUGUUUGGAAGUUUUAAAAUUGUACCAGUGCCUGUGGUGUCCGCUUAAAUUGUAUAAAUUUUCAAGAUUUAGAUAGUGUCUCAAUUUGAAUAUAUUGACAUGAUUCAUUUGAAAUCAUGCUAUUACCGAAGAAGGAUAUCUGUUAUCCGAAAUAUCUUGUAUUUGUUCAUUUUAUAGUUAUUUAAUGGUGAUGUUGUACCCUUUUUUGAAUUGUUAUAUAAAAAUACUUCAUUACUACUUAAUUUAUAUGUUUCUCAUGCUUAUUAGUUGAAUCUAAAAAAAAAAUAAUAAUUUAAGUUUAUCACCCAUGUAUAAACGAGUUCUCAGCAUUAGGGGAGUCACAAAUAAAUAAAUUUGAGUUGCUAAAAAAAUAUAUUUAUGAAUAAACAAUAAUUUUGAAAAAAAAGAUUCCUCCAGUUAUGUUUUGCUGCCUAUAAAAUGUAUAAACUUACUUUUUUUUUAAAAUAUAUAAUUAUAUGUAGUAUAAUAAGUUAUCACUUGUGUCUUUAUACCAAGACUAAUUGUUCCUCAGAUCAAUGCUUACAAAACAGAGUACAACAAAGGAUAAAUAAAAAAGAUCCCAAUAAUUUGUCCAAUUUAUAAUAAAUAAUUAAUAUUAACCCUUUCCUCCAUAAUGACGCCACCCCUUAACUCCAUAAUGAUGCCAUUUGACGCCUAUGUAGUGCCUCAGUUGAAAUGUAUUGCCUAUGAAAAAACUUUAUCAGACUUUAAAAAAAUUGUAUCUAAUAUAAAAAGGAUAUUCAUAAGAUAUCUGAUUGGAAUUUCACUCAUGAAAUAUUUGUUUUAGCAAUGCAUUAAUACUUUAAACCUGAUGCAAAUCAAGUAUGUAAAAAGAAUAUUUCCAUGUAGGAAAGGGUUAAAGAAUAUACAUUUUCAUAGAAAUCUUGUAACCACUUAAUUUUGUUCAUUUAUCACUUAGGAAAACAAAUCAAAGUAUUUGCUAUUUCUGACAGUAAUUAGGUCAUGUGACUAUUCAGUUUCUGCCAGUUGGGUCAUGUGAUCAUGCAGUUCCUGACAGUUGGGGUCAUGUGACCAUACAGUUUCUCACAGUUGGGUCAUGUGACCUUACAGUUUAUGACAAUUGGAAUCAUGUGACCAUACAGUUCCUGACUUUUGGGGUCAUGUGACCAUACAGUUCCUCACAGGUUGGGUCAUGUAACCAUACAUUUCCUCACAGUUGGGUCAUGUGACUAUUUGAUAUCCUGAUAUGAUACUUCUUACUUCAAUAUAACAUGGUGCAUUCAUGUUAAAAAUAUAGAGUUCCUUAUAAUAGCACCAUCCCAUUAGGUAAACGUCAAUCCAACAGCAACCCAACAAAACAAAAUAAAGUCUAAAAGAUGUCAAAAUGUCAAAAUAUAGUCUUCAAUGGUAAUUCUUAUAGAUUAUCCCUGGUUUUUCCAAACAAUAGGAUGUUACUCCGCUACAAUAUAUACUGAAGGGUGAGAAACAUCCUCAAGUUUGAUAAACCAUUGACAAUCUGUGUAAUGUCGUAAAUGUAGGUAUAAGACGUCAUGCAUUUUCUUUCUACUCAACAAAAAAAAAUCAUAUCACUCAAGUAUUCUGAUAAGAAAAAUUAUCAAAAAACAAAAAUUCAAAGCAAAAUUUAUAUAUUAGAAUAGAGAUAAGUAAGUUUACUUUAAACUACAGUGUGUUUAUCUUACAAAAUAACCUCUAAAAUUUGUUUGCCUCCUUUCCAUCUCAAUUAAUCCAGAAACCUGAGGAAUUCGGUCAAAAAGACUGUAUUAUAUGGAAUCAGGCAUACCACCAUUGUAAAAGAAAUAAUUUCAGUCAACUGCAAUUGUCUUCAAAAAUCUGUUUUCUUUUCCUUCAAAUUAUUUCUUAAUAAAGUCAUAAAAAUAUGAAACAUACACAAAAAAACCACAGAGAAAUGUAUAAAAUACUGAACUAUCUUUAAGUACAAAUAACAAUAGCCAUCAACACGACAACAAAACUGAAAAAGACACAAUUUCAAUUAUUGCUGAUAAUUUGUAUUUGUGUAUUCUUGCAUUGAUUCUGUCUUUUGUAACAAACUUGUGAAAGACCACUUAUAUUUUCCAAUCCCUUAUUUUGUUACAAUUGAGCUUAUUAAAUAUAUAGCUGUCAUUUCAUAUUAAACAAGAAUGUGUCCCAAGUACACGGAUGCACCAUCCGCACUAUCAUUUUCUAUGUUUAGUGGACCGUGAAAAUGGGAUAAAAUCUCUAACUUGGCAUUAAAAUUAGAAAGAUCAUAUCAUAGGGAACAUGUUUGCUAAGUUUCAAGUUGAUCGGACUUCAAGUUCAUCAAAAACUACCUCCACCAAAAACUUCAACCUGAAACAGGACAGACUGACGAACAGACGGACGCAGACCAGAAAACAUAAUGCCCAUACAUGGGGCAUAAAAAACAUUGUCAAAUACAUUGGGAAAAACAUCUUGCAGUAAAUUUUAACCAGUGUCAUUAUUUAGAAAAAAUGCAAAUUUUAAGUCCUAAAAUACAUGCCAAUAUUUUCAGUUUGCAAGACAAGAUGAAUUUAUCUUAUUCUGACAAAAAUUGGUCCACAAGUUUGAAACAUAUAAGAUAUUAAAAUGUUUUAACAAAUCAUACAAUAUAUGUAUAAGUAGAUAUGACUCCUAUCAAUGCUUACAAAAGGCCAUCAUCUAACAAGUCGUGUUUGCCAUGGAAAAGGUCAAAGAAAAGGUCAUUGAUGGUAUCUUUUUUAUGGUCACAUUUAGUAAGACAAUUAUUUUCCUGUAGAUAACACAAAGAUGUCUCAACUUAACAAUUUCAGAUGCUGCUGAUGCCAGAAACAGCAUGCCUAAGUCGUGUUUCAUCAACUCAGACAUAGGGGAGACAAACAUAAUUGUUACAAGUAUGAGCAGUUACAAAGAUAUUUUACCAUUUGAGACAAUAAAGACAUAUGAUAAUUUAUGGAACACAUAGAAAAAAUUAAUACAAAAAAUUUAAAUAUUUACACACCUCAUAAUUUAAC